AAACUGGCAGACUGUCUUUAUCACAAGCUCCAGUCAGAAAAUCAUGAGGUUGGGGAGGGUGAAGAAGAACUACUACUGGCUUCCAGGUAACAAUGAAUGAUCAGGGGAGGGUAAUUAGCAGGAAAAACACAGACAGUGUCCCA
Molecule: long non-coding RNA, 143 nt
Filed under: Dasypus novemcinctus (nine-banded armadillo)
Lineage: Eukaryota; Metazoa; Chordata; Mammalia; Cingulata; Dasypodidae
Description: lncRNA (ENSDNOG00000050714.1)
Source: RNAcentral